This 492-nucleotide ribosomal RNA is filed under the name uncultured bacterium. Its description in RNAcentral is "partial 16S ribosomal RNA". It matches the Rfam family "Bacterial small subunit ribosomal RNA", at positions 36 to 507 of the family's 1533-position model. The record is from RNAcentral.
CUUUCCCUCUGGCGGCAUGCUUUACACAUGCAAGUCGAACGGUAACAGGCCUUCGGGUGCUGACGAGUGGCGAACGGGUGAGUAAUGCAUCGGAACGUGCCCAGAGGUGGGGGAUAACGCAGCGAAAGCUGUGCUAAUACCGCAUGUGAUCUGAGGAUGACAGCGGGGGACCCAGCAGCAAUGUUUGGCCUCGCGCCUCUGGAGCGGCCGAUGUCAGAUUAGGUAGUUGGUGGGGUAAAGGCCUACCAAGCCGACGAUCUGUAGCUGGUCUGAGAGGACGACCAGCCACACUGGGACUGAGACACGGCCCAGACUCCUACGGGAGGCAGCAGUGGGGAAUUUUGGACAAUGGGCGCAAGCCUGAUCCAGCAAUGCCGCGUGCGGGAAGAAGGCCUUCGGGUUGUAAACCGCUUUUGUACGGAACGAAAAGGCUCUGGCUAAUACCUGGGGCUGAUGACGGUACCGUAAGAAUAAGCACCGGCUAACUACGUG